RNAcentral lists this transfer RNA (71 nucleotides) under Pseudopithomyces chartarum. RNAcentral describes it as "tRNA-Cys". It matches the Rfam family "tRNA". Rfam says of the family: Transfer RNA (tRNA) molecules are approximately 80 nucleotides in length. The record is from RNAcentral. Lineage: Eukaryota; Fungi; Ascomycota; Dothideomycetes; Pleosporales; Didymosphaeriaceae.
GGGGUAUGAGCAUAAGGCUGUGCAUUGUGAUUGCAGAUCAUAUAGUUAAGGUUCGACUCCUUCAUAUCUCU